GAGACAGGGACGAGUUAGGGCAUGGGAGUUGCAUAUGCAGAAACGUCUGCUUCUGCCAUUCUUAUGCACUGCCUCUUCCCUGGCUC
Molecule: microRNA precursor, 86 nt
Filed under: Pinus taeda (loblolly pine)
Lineage: Eukaryota; Viridiplantae; Streptophyta; Pinopsida; Pinales; Pinaceae
Description: miR408 stem-loop (pta-MIR408)
Gene: pta-MIR408
Source: miRBase by way of RNAcentral